GGCGUGCCUAAUACAUGCAAGUCGAGCGAACAGACGAGGAGCUUGCUCCUCUGACGUUAGCGGCGGACGGGUGAGUAACACGUGGAUAACCUACCUAUAAGACUGGGAUAACUUCGGGAAACCGGAGCUAAUACCGGAUAAUAUAUUGAACCGCAUGGUUCAAUAGUGAAAGACGGUUUUGCUGUCACUUAUAGAUGGAUCCGCGCCGCAUUAGCUAGUUGGUAAGGUAACGGCUUACCAAGGCAACGAUGCGUAGCCGACCUGAGAGGGUGAUCGGCCACACUGGAACUGAGACACGGUCCAGACUCCUACGGGAGGCAGCAGUAGGGAAUCUUCCGCAAUGGGCGAAAGCCUGACGGAGCAACGCCGCGUGAGUGAUGAAGGUCUUCGGAUCGUAAAACUCUGUUAUUAGGGAAGAACAAAUGUGUAAGUAACUAUGCACGUCUUGACGGUACCUAAUCAGAAAGC
This 468-nucleotide ribosomal RNA is filed under the name Staphylococcus epidermidis. RNAcentral describes it as "bacterial SSU rRNA". It matches the Rfam family "Bacterial small subunit ribosomal RNA", at positions 41 to 491 of the family's 1533-position model. Lineage: Bacteria; Bacillati; Bacillota; Bacilli; Caryophanales; Staphylococcaceae. The record is from RNAcentral.